RNAcentral lists this unclassified non-coding RNA (197 nucleotides) under plant metagenome. Its description in RNAcentral is "partial contains small subunit ribosomal RNA, internal transcribed spacer 1, and 5.8S ribosomal RNA". The record is from RNAcentral.
UCUCCGUUGGUGAACCAGCGGAGGGAUCAUUACCGAGUGCAAACUUAUAACCCUUUGUGAACCUAUAUCUGUUGCUUCGGCGGCUCGCUCUCGGGCGAGCCCGCCGGUAAUAUCAGUAUCUCUGUUUGAACCCGACGAUACUUCUGAGUGUUCUUAGCGAACAGUUAAAACUUUUAACAACGGAUCUCUUGGCUCUA